RNAcentral lists this ribosomal RNA (442 nucleotides) under uncultured bacterium. RNAcentral describes it as "bacterial SSU rRNA". It matches the Rfam family "Bacterial small subunit ribosomal RNA", at positions 335 to 769 of the family's 1533-position model. The record is from RNAcentral.
ACUCCUACGGGAGGCAGCAGUGGGGAAUAUUGCGCAAUGGACGAAAGUCUGACGCAGCGACGCCGCGUGGAGGAUGAAGGUUUUCGGAUCGUAAACUCCUGUCAAGAGGGAAGAAACCUAUCAUGAAUAAUACUCAUGGUAAUUGACGGUACCUCUAGAGGAAGCACCGGCUAAUUCAGUGCCAGCAGCCGCGGUAAUACUGAAGGUGCAAGCGUUAAUCGGAAUCACUGGGCGUAAAGCGCUCGUAGGUGGCUUUGUAAGUCAGGUGUGAAAGCCCACGGCUCAACCGUGGAAUUGCACUUGAUACUGCAUCGCUAGAGUAUAGGAGAGGGAAGUGGAAUUUCUGGUGUAGGAGUGAAAUCCGUAGAGAUCAGAAGGAACACCCGUGGCGAAGGCGACUUCCUGGACUAUUACUGACACUGAGGAGCGAAAGCGUGGGAGC